Molecule: long non-coding RNA, 1816 nt
Filed under: Nicotiana tabacum (common tobacco)
Lineage: Eukaryota; Viridiplantae; Streptophyta; Magnoliopsida; Solanales; Solanaceae
Description: long non-coding RNA (NTAB_LNC009002)
Source: RNAcentral
CACCUCCUCCUUCGCCAUCUCCCCCGCCCCUGUAUGUGUACAAAUCUCCUCCUCCACCAUCACCUUCACCACCACCUCCAUAUUAUUAUAAGUCGCCACCUCCACCUUCACCAUCACCUCCACCACCAUAUUAUUAUAAAUCUCCGCCACCACCCUCGCUAUCACCACCUCCACCUUACUAUUAUAAGUCUCCACCGCCACCUUCUCCUUCACCUCCUCCACCAUACUACUAUAAAUCUCCACCACCUCCUUCACCUUCACCUCCGCCACCUUAUUAUUACAAGUCUCCGCCUCCUCCGUCACCAUCACCACCACCACCAUACUAUUAUAAGUCCCCACCACCACCUGCUAAGUCACCUCCUCCCCCAUACUACUACAGUUCUCCACCACCACCACUAAAGUCUCCUCCUCCACCAUAUUAUUAUUCCUCACCGUCACCACCAAAGAAAUCACCCCCGCCACCAUAUCACUAUACUUCCCCACCACCACCAGUUAAGUCUCCUCCUCCACCAUAUUACUAUUCCUCACCACCACCCCCAAAGAAAUCACCUCCUCCCCCAUAUCACUAUAGUUCCCCACCUCCACCAGUUAAGUCUCCUCCUCCACAAUAUUACUAUUCCUCACCACCGCCCCCCAAGAAAUUACCUCCUCCACCAUAUUAUUACUCUUCUCCACCACCACCAAAGAAAUCACCACCGCCACCAUAUCACUACUCUUCCCCACCACCACCAGUAAAGUCACCUCCAACUCCAUACUACUACACCUCCCCACCACCUCCAAAGAAGUCUUCUCCCCCACCGUACUAUUACGCUUCACCACCACCACCUACUCAGUACUAUCCUCCAUAUCAUCAUUUGGUGGUCAAGGUUGUCGGAAAGGUCUACUGUUUUAGAUGCUAUGAUUCAAAAUAUCCAGAGAAGUCUCAUGGCAAGAAACACCUGCAAGGUACAAUACUUUUUAUUACACAUCCACUCUUUUUAUUAACUUUAAUUUAUCACCAAAAAUUGAUUUAACUAUAUAUUCGCCUUUUUGUUGCUUUAUUCGUUAAGCUCUUACCAAAAUACCCAAAAAUGUGCUAGUAAAAAAUUUGCGCGCAUCACAAUCACUAGAUUUUCCUUUUUGAAAAAUAAGAUUUUAAAAUAUCAAAAAUAUUUACAACGUAGUAACUAUAAAUAUUUUUGUAACUAUGGAGUAAAAUAUUGAAAAUGACAUAUGUUAGCAGCUCAAUAACUUUAGUGUUAAUUAAUAUAUUAAUUCUUUUUUCACAUGAAUUAGGUGCUGUUAUUAAGGUGACUUGUAAGGCUGGUGACAAGAAAAUUGUGAGUUAUGGUACCACAAGGAUCAACGGCAAAUUCAGCAUUACUGUUAAAGGAUUUGAAUAUGCCAAAUAUGGAGCAAAGGCUUGCAAGGCUAAACUACACAAUGCUCCAAAGGAUUCUAAUUGUGACAUUCCUACAAACCUUUACUGGGGAGUAAAGGGCGCUAACCUAAAAGUGAAGUCAAAGAACCAUUAUGAAGUUGUACUUUAUGCAAAACCAUUUGCUUAUGGCUCUAAGACACCUUAUGCAAAAUGCACAAAACCUCUGCCUACGCCUGCUCCAUACUACUACAAAUCUCCUCCACCUCCAUCGCCGAUUUAUAUUUACAAGUCACCACCUCCAACAACCCCGACAUAUGUUUACAAAUCUCCACCGCCACCAACUAAGUCUUCACCAUCUCCUUAUUACUACAAGUCUCCACCUCCACCAUCACCAAAACCUGCUCCUGUAUACUAUUAUAAAUCACCACCACCUCCAUCAACAUUGCCUCCACCUAC